GUGCAGCACAUACACUAAAAAAUUGGAACUAUAUAGAGAUUAGCAUGGCCCCUGCCCAAAGAUGACAUGCAAAUUCAUGAAGCGUUCCAUAGUUUU
This 96-nucleotide small nuclear RNA is filed under the name Sapajus apella (tufted capuchin). RNAcentral also lists the same sequence under 1 other name. Lineage: Eukaryota; Metazoa; Chordata; Mammalia; Primates; Cebidae. The record is from RNAcentral.